RNAcentral lists this ribosomal RNA (420 nucleotides) under uncultured bacterium. Its description in RNAcentral is "bacterial SSU rRNA". It matches the Rfam family "Bacterial small subunit ribosomal RNA", at positions 8 to 431 of the family's 1533-position model. The record is from RNAcentral.
AGAGUUUGAUCCUGGCUCAGGACGAACGCUGGCGGCGUGCUUAACACAUGCAAGUCGAACGGUGAAGUCCCUUCGGGGGCGGAUCAGUGGCGAACGGGUGAGUAACACGUGGGCAAUCUGCCCCUCACUGUGGGAUAACUCCGGGAAACCGGGGCUAAUACCGCAUAUGAAGCCUGGCGGCAUCGCCGGGUUUGGAAAGUUUUUCGGUGAGGGAUGAGCCCGCGGCCUAUCAGCUUGUUGGUGAGGUAAUGGCUCACCAAGGCGACGACGGGUAGCCGGCCUGAGAGGGCGACCGGCCGCACUGGGACUGAGACACGGCCCAGACUCCUACGGGAGGCAGCAGUGGGGAAUAUUGGGCAAUGGGCGAAAGCCUGACCCAGCGACGCCGCGUGCGGGAUGAAGGCCUUCGGGUUGUAAACC